GAUGAACGCUGGCGGCGUGCCUAAUACAUGCAAGUCGAGCGAACAGACGAGGGGCUUGCUCCUCUGACGUUAGCGGCGGACGGGUGAGUAACACGUGGAUAACCUACCUAUAAGACUGGGAUAACUUCGGGAAACCGGAGCUAAUACCGGAUAAUAUAUUGAACCGCAUGGUUCAAUAGUGAAAGACGGUUUUGCUGUCACUUAUAGAUGGAUCCGCGCCGCAUUAGCUAGUUGGUAAGGUAACGGCUUACCAAGGCGACGAUGCGUAGCCGACCUGAGAGGGUGAUCGGCCACACUGGAACUGAGACACGGUCCAGACUCCUACGGGAGGCAGCAGUAGGGAAUCUUCCGCAAUGGGCGAAAGCCUGACGGAGCAACGCCGCGUGAGUGAUGAAGGUCUUCGGAUCGUAAAACUCUGUUAUUAGGGAAGAACAAAUGUGUAAGUAACUAUUCACGUCUUGACGGUACCUAAUCAGAAAGCCACGGCUAACUACGUG
Molecule: ribosomal RNA, 497 nt
Filed under: uncultured bacterium
Lineage: Bacteria
Description: partial 16S ribosomal RNA
Rfam family: Bacterial small subunit ribosomal RNA
Source: RNAcentral